GUAGAAAAAUGAAGUUUCAGGAAAUCUGGCUUUUUAUAAUUUGGUUUAUGAUUAAAUUUGUUGAACAAGAGCUUCUAAGAUGAUGCUUGAUGGGAACUAGAGGGCUAGAGAUUUAAAUUGCGGACAAUAUGACCAGAUGUGACCGUAAUAUUGUGGUUGCGGUGACCGUUGCAACCACAUCACUCCGCCAUUACAGUGUGAUUCCGAAUUACAAUGAUGUGACCGCAUCAGGUCGC
Lupinus albus (white lupine) is the source of this 236-nucleotide non-coding RNA. Lineage: Eukaryota; Viridiplantae; Streptophyta; Magnoliopsida; Fabales; Fabaceae. The record is from the annotation of a GenBank genome assembly.